This 252-nucleotide ribosomal RNA is filed under the name uncultured bacterium. RNAcentral describes it as "partial 16S ribosomal RNA". It matches the Rfam family "Bacterial small subunit ribosomal RNA", at positions 524 to 776 of the family's 1533-position model. The record is from RNAcentral.
UACAGAGGGUGCAAGCGUUAAUCGGAAUUACUGGGCGUAAAGCGUGCGUAGACGGUUACAUAAGUCGGGUGUGAAAGCCCCGGGCUCAACCUGGGAAUUGCAUUCGAGACUGCGUAGCUAGGGUGCGGAAGAGGGAAGCGGAAUUCCGGUGUAGCGGUGAAAUGCGUAGAUAUCGGAAGGAACACCAGUGGCGAAAGCGGCUUCCUGGUCCAGCACCGACGUUCAGGCACGAAAGCGUGGGGAGCAAACAGG